This 408-nucleotide ribosomal RNA is filed under the name Gordonia rhizosphera. RNAcentral describes it as "bacterial SSU rRNA". It matches the Rfam family "Bacterial small subunit ribosomal RNA", at positions 1030 to 1436 of the family's 1533-position model. The record is from RNAcentral. Lineage: Bacteria; Bacillati; Actinomycetota; Actinomycetes; Mycobacteriales; Gordoniaceae.
GUGUACAGGUGGUGCAUGGCUGUCGUCAGCUCGUGUCGUGAGAUGUUGGGUUAAGUCCCGCAACGAGCGCAACCCUUGUCCUAUAUUGCCAGCGGGUUAUGCCGGGGACUCACGGGAGACUGCCGGGGUCAACUCGGAGGAAGGUGGGGAUGACGUCAAGUCAUCAUGCCCCUUAUGUCCAGGGCUUCACACAUGCUACAAUGGCCGGUACAGAGGGCUGCGAUACCGUGAGGUGGAGCGAAUCCCAAAAAGCCGGUCUCAGUUCGGAUCGGGGUCUGCAACUCGACCCCGUGAAGUCGGAGUCGCUAGUAAUCGCAGAUCAGCAACGCUGCGGUGAAUACGUUCCCGGGUCUUGUACACACCGCCCGUCAAGUCAUGAAAGUCGGUAACACCAGAAGCCGGUGUGUA